UGAUAAAGUAAGCUAAAUUUAAGCUGUUGGGCUCAUAAUCCAAAAAUGGAGAUUAAUUCCCUUUAUUAA
Molecule: transfer RNA, 69 nt
Filed under: Solemya velum (Atlantic awning clam)
Lineage: Eukaryota; Metazoa; Mollusca; Bivalvia; Solemyida; Solemyidae
Description: tRNA-Met
Rfam family: tRNA
About the family: Transfer RNA (tRNA) molecules are approximately 80 nucleotides in length. Their secondary structure includes four short double-helical elements and three loops (D, anti-codon, and T loops).
Source: RNAcentral